UUUUCCUUAAGAGUCUGAAAUCAGAACAAUAUAACCUCACAAUAUACACAAAAGAUUCUUGAAAAUGUCAAUAACCAGAAUUCCUCAGCAUUCAUUACCUCUAUUGGAGCCAUUCAAAGGCAAAAUAUGAAGAAGGAUUUCAAGGGGCUCGGUAUCUGCGGUCAUGACAACGAAUUCCGAAACUCCUCUGUUUAGUGUCUUCGUAGCUUCAUUAGCAUCCUUUUUAUUCUGCUUAUAAUUAGCAGCUUGUUG
RNAcentral lists this unclassified non-coding RNA (252 nucleotides) under Hevea brasiliensis (rubber tree). Lineage: Eukaryota; Viridiplantae; Streptophyta; Magnoliopsida; Malpighiales; Euphorbiaceae. The record is from RNAcentral.